Molecule: long non-coding RNA, 228 nt
Filed under: Durio zibethinus
Lineage: Eukaryota; Viridiplantae; Streptophyta; Magnoliopsida; Malvales; Malvaceae
Description: long non-coding RNA (DZIB_LNC000171)
Source: RNAcentral
AAAGAAAAGCAAAAUGAAAAAAAGAGAGAAAAGAAAAAUGCCACAAACAAGUUGGGACAAAGUAAUGAUAAUCUUUUUGUGAGAAAUGAAAUGGAAAAAAUAGGGAAAUGAUGUGGAAUGGGGCAAAAUGCUAAGUUGUAUCAAAUGAUGAGAAAUGAUCUUUUAGUUUUAAACCCUUUAAACACAUGUUUUGAGCCUAUUUUAUCCAUUUCUUUCAUGACCCCUCAC